This 450-nucleotide long non-coding RNA is filed under the name Nicotiana benthamiana. RNAcentral describes it as "long non-coding RNA (NBEN_LNC036180)". Lineage: Eukaryota; Viridiplantae; Streptophyta; Magnoliopsida; Solanales; Solanaceae. The record is from RNAcentral.
UUUCAACGAGUGAAUCAAUUCAUCAAACACACUUCUAAGAAGGAAAUUGAACAUGCUACAAAAGAAAUGGAAUUCACAGAGACCUAUCCAUGACUUGGCAAAAUAGAAUAGCCUUCGUACGUGGUCACACAUGAGAAAUUUCAAUUAAACCAAGAUAGAUUCAAUAAUCAGGGCUAACAGUGCAGAAUCUAUUGCUAAAAUACGCGCAAAUCUGCUGCCUAAAUAGUGCAAAACAGGGCAGCUUUUCAGUUAGCUAUCAAUCCAAACAAAUGUCCCAAAAUAUUGCACAUUGUCAGAGAAGCACAAAUAGAUUUUUAUGGACAUAUGAGUUAGGACAGUUUCAGACUCUAAACCAUUAAAAGAUGUCAACUUCCUAGCCCUUCAAAAAAAUGAUUUCAGCAGUUUGUUUUAUAUAUCUAGUUCUACUAUCAGUAACACUAAGCUACCACA